RNAcentral lists this ribosomal RNA (508 nucleotides) under uncultured bacterium. RNAcentral describes it as "partial 16S ribosomal RNA". It matches the Rfam family "Bacterial small subunit ribosomal RNA", at positions 28 to 507 of the family's 1533-position model. The record is from RNAcentral.
GACGAACGCUGGCGGCGUGCCUAAUACAUGCAAGUCGAACGCUUCUUUCCUCCCGAGUGCUUGCACUCAAUUGGAAAGAGGAGUGGCGGACGGGUGAGUAACACGUGUGUAACCUACCCAUCAUAGGGGGAUAACACUUGGAAACAGGUGCUAAUACCGCAUAACAGUUUAUGCCGCAUGGCAUAAGAGUGAAAGGCGCUUUCGGGUGUCGCUGAUGGAUGGACCCGCGGUGCAUUAGCUAGUUGGUGGGGUAACGGCUCACCAAGGCCACGAUGCAUAGCCGAACUGAGAGGGUGAUCGGCCACACUGGGACUGAGACAGGGCCCAGACUCCUACGGGAGGCAGCAGUAGGGAAUGUUCGGCAAUGGACGAAAGUCUGACCGAGCAACGCCGCGUGAGUGAAGAAGGUGUUCGGAGCGUAAAACUCUGUUGUUAGAGAAGAACAAGGACGUUCGGAACUGAACGUCCCCUGACGGUAUCUAACCAGAAAGCCACGGCUAACUACGUG